RNAcentral lists this ribosomal RNA (253 nucleotides) under uncultured prokaryote. RNAcentral describes it as "partial 16S ribosomal RNA". It matches the Rfam family "Bacterial small subunit ribosomal RNA", at positions 524 to 776 of the family's 1533-position model. The record is from RNAcentral.
UACGUAGGGUGCGAGCGUUAAUCGGAAUUACUGGGCGUAAAGCGUGCGCAGGCGGUUUUGUAAGACAGGUGUGAAAUCCCCGGGCUUAACCUGGGAACUGCGCUCGAAACUACUUGGCUCGAGUGUGGCAGAGGAAGGUGGAAUUCCACGUGUAGCGGUGAAAUGCGUAGAGAUGUGGAGGAACACCGAUGGCGAAGGCAGCCUUCUGGGCCAACACUGACGCUCAUGCACGAAAGCGUGGGGAGCAAACAGG